GAUGAACGCUGGCGGCGUGCCUAAUACAUGCAAGUCGAGCGAACGGACGAGAAGCUUGCUUCUCUGAUGUUAGCGGCGGACGGGUGAGUAACACGUGGAUAACCUACCUAUAAGACUGGGAUAACUUCUGGAAACCGGAGCUAAUACCGGAUAAUAUUUUGAACCGCAUGGUUCAAAAGUGUAAGACGGUCUUGCUGUCACUUAUAGAUGGAACCGCGCUGCAUUAGCUAGGUGGUAAGGUAACGGCUUACCAAGGCAACGGUGCAUAGCCGACCUGAGAGGGUGAUCGGACACACUGGAACUGAGACACGGUCCAGACUCCUACGGGAGGCCGCAGUAGGGACUCUUCCGCAAUGGGCGAAAGCCUGACGGAGCAACGCCGCGUGAGUGAUGAAGGUCUUCGGAUCUUAAAACUCUGUUAUUAGGGAAGAACAUAUGUGUAAGUAACUGUGCACAUCUUGACGGUACCUAAUCAGAAAGCCACGGCUAACUCCGUG
This 497-nucleotide ribosomal RNA is filed under the name uncultured bacterium. RNAcentral describes it as "partial 16S ribosomal RNA". It matches the Rfam family "Bacterial small subunit ribosomal RNA", at positions 28 to 507 of the family's 1533-position model. The record is from RNAcentral.